RNAcentral lists this long non-coding RNA (504 nucleotides) under Monodelphis domestica (gray short-tailed opossum). RNAcentral's name for it is "lncRNA (ENSMODG00000029417.2)". The record is from RNAcentral. Lineage: Eukaryota; Metazoa; Chordata; Mammalia; Didelphimorphia; Didelphidae.
AUGAGAGAUGAUGUUGCAUGUUUCCUAAUAGGAACAGAUUGUUUAAAUGAAACAAAAUCCAUGUUAUCCUCUGAAACAUUGAUUACUGACCAAGUAGAAGAAAGGGGAGGGAGGGAGGAAGGAAGGAAGGAAGGAAGGAAGGAAAGAAGAAAGAAAGAAAGAAAGAAAGAAAAAAGAAAGGAAGAAAGGAAGGAAGGAAGAGGAAGGAAGGAAGGAAGGAAGGAAGGAAGGAAGGAAGGAAGGAAGGAAGGAAGGAAGGAAGGAAGGAAGGAGGCAAGGAAGGAAGGAAGGAAGGAAGGAAGGAAGGAGGCAAGGAAGGAAGGAAGGAAGGAAGGAAGGAAGGAAGCAAGGAAGGAAAGGAGGGAGGGAGAGAGUGAGAGUGUGAGACAGAUAGAGAAAGAGAGAGAAAGAAAGUAAGAUAGAAAGAAAGAAAGAAAGAAAGAAAGAAAGAAAGUAAAGAAAGAAAGAAAUAAAGACACACCCAGAGAGAAAGAGAGAGAGAGA